RNAcentral lists this ribosomal RNA (464 nucleotides) under uncultured bacterium. RNAcentral describes it as "partial 16S ribosomal RNA". It matches the Rfam family "Bacterial small subunit ribosomal RNA", at positions 28 to 507 of the family's 1533-position model. The record is from RNAcentral.
GACGAACGCUGGCGGCGUGCUUAACACAUGCAAGUCGAACGGAAAGGCCCAGCUUGCUGGGUUCUCGAGUGGCGAACGGGCGAGUAACACGUGGGUGAUCUGCCCCUAACUUCGGGAUAAGCUUGUGAAACUGGGUCUAAUACCGGAUAGGACAAUCGUUUAGUGUCGUUUGUGGAAAGUUUUUUCGGUUAGGGAUGGGCCCGCGGCCUAUCAGCUUGUUGGUGGGGUAAUGGCCUACCAAGGCGUCGACGGGUAGCCGGCCUGAGAGGGUGGACGGCCACAUUGGGACUGAGAUACGGCCCAGACUCCUACGGGAGGCAGCAGUGGGGAAUAUUGCACAAUGGGCGCAAGCCUGAUGCAGCGACGCCGCGUGGGGGAUGACGGCCUUCGGGUUGUAAACCUCUUUCGACAGGGACGAAGCUUUGGUGACGGUACCUGUAUAAGAAGCACCGGCUAACUACGUG